Molecule: ribosomal RNA, 468 nt
Filed under: uncultured bacterium
Lineage: Bacteria
Description: partial 16S ribosomal RNA
Rfam family: Bacterial small subunit ribosomal RNA
Source: RNAcentral
GACGAACGCUGGCGGCGUGCUUAACACAUGCAAGUCGAACGGAAAGGCCCUGCUUUUGUGGGGUGCUCGAGUGGCGAACGGGUGAGUAACACGUGAGUAACCUGCCCUUGACUUUGGUAUAACUUCAGGAAACUGGGGCUAAUACCGGAUAGGAGCUCCUGCUGCAUGGUGGGGGUUGGAAAGUUUCGGCGGUUGGGGAUGGACUCGCGGCUUAUCAGCUUGUUGGUGGGGUAGUGGCUUACCAAGGCUUUGACGGGUAGCCGGCCUGAGAGGGUGACCGGCAACAUUGGGACAGAGAUACGGCCCAGACUCCUACGGGAGGCAGCAGUGGGGAAUAUUGCACAAUGGGCGGAAGCCUGAUGCAGCAACGCCGCGUGCGGGAUGACGGACUUCGGGUUGUAAACCGCUUUCGCCUGUGACGAAGCGUGAGUGACGGUAAUGGGUAAAGAAGCACCGGCUAACUACGUG